Phoenix dactylifera (date palm) is the source of this 5867-nucleotide long non-coding RNA. RefSeq lists it as uncharacterized. The record is from RefSeq and is a predicted model, not a curated record. Lineage: Eukaryota; Viridiplantae; Streptophyta; Magnoliopsida; Arecales; Arecaceae.
GAGAGUAUGAUUUAUGGAGGAGGGGACCAAGUAUGGGCUGAGUGCGACGGCAGUGGAAGGCCGAGAAGCCCAGCUCUGUACACAGUUGCUCUGCCGUCAGACCGAGCAACUUUGGGCCGUGGACUGUAGCAAUUAAAGAUGAUGAAUUGCGGGCGAGUUUGAUGUGAUUCAGUUACUGGCCUUUUCUGCGCUCUCCCCAACCUUUCUUGAACCAAACCCUGGCGUUUGUUUCUCCUCCUCUUCAGUUACUGGCCUUUUCUGCGCUCUCCCCAACCUUUCUUGAACCAAACCCUGGCGUUUUUUUCUCCUCCUCCACCGCCACCUCCCGUGGCGGAGAGGUUAGGGUUCGGCCCCUCGUUAGCCACCGGCACAAUGGAGGUGGCGAACGCGCCCACCCAGUAGCUCAGCCUCGCCAGCUUCGCCUACUGCUCCGCCGGCGAUCUGCGGAAAUGUUCUUGAAUCCCGGCUCGAGCCACGUUGUCGCAUUGAUGGCGGAUCUCGUAGUUCUCACACUUCGAUAUUCUUGCUGAAACUCGUCUUUUAUUUUUCUUGUGACACAUUUGAUAUCUGCGCUUAUUUUAUUGAUAUGUUGGAUGAUUUCAAGUUUCUUUUCAGUUCCUGAUAGAUUUCUUGUUUCUUGUGAAAUAUUCUUGUUCUUAUAUAUUUUCUGAUUUCGUUGCUAAUCCUCUCUUUCCAGCUUUCUUUUCCUCGCCCCUUGGAUUUUUUAUUUCUUUUGAAAGAUUUGAUUUUUCAUUUCUUUGGAAGGCUUGUUUCGCACACGAAAGAAAGAAGUUAGUACAUUCGGACGGAAUUGCUUCCGUGUCUUACUUCCUUUCUUUCUUCUCUGUACUGGAUAAUUUUCUUAUCUCUUGUGAAAGAUUUAAUCUUGUGCUAUUUUACCUGUGUAUAAUGAUCUUGGUGUUGGAAUGCUUCGGUAGUAUUAUGGUAUUGUGGGUUGUUUGUUUCAUUCUUCUUUUGUUUCUCUUUGCUUGAUCGAUUUCUUAUUCUCCGGAAAGAUUUGAUCUUGUGCUGCUUGUCUUGCGUGUUCUGUGAUUUCAAUGUGGGAAUGCUUGAAUAGAAUUAUUGUACUGGGGUUUCUUUAUUUCUUUCUUUCUUUGGUUCUUUUCUGUGGUUGAUAGAUUAUUUAUUUCUUCUGAAAGAUUCAAUCUUGUGCCGCCUUGCUUGUCUUUUUGGUGAUUUCAACGUUGCAACAUUUGAAUACUAUGUGUUUACUUUCUUGCUUCCUUUCUUUCUUUUUUGUGCUUAACAGAUUUCUUAUUUGUUAUGGAAGAUUUGAUCUUUUGCUUUUUAUUGAUAUAUUUGGUGAUUCGAAUGUUGGAAUUCUUGAAUGGAAUUGUUAUAUUGCAGUUUCUUUUUCUCUUUCUUUUCCCUGAUUGCCAGGAUACCCUUCUUCAAGAAUCGUUAAUGUCUUAUGAAUUAUGAGGAACAGUAAUUGUUUAGCCCUAUUUUCAUUUUAUUUACUUUCAGUAAUUUGGAGCAUUUCUGUAUUUGUAUUUUUAAUUGGUUAGGCCAAUAUGGGUUCGUAAAAGAAGGAUUCUGAUGUUAUGGCAUAAAAGAUUGAACUAAAUGGUGAUUAUUGAAUGCAAUAAUAUUUCUUCUUGAACAUUCUCUUAUGUAUGUUUUGAUUUGCUAGCAGUUUUCUCAUUGUCGGUAAUCUGUCCUCUUCCAUAGGUAAUCCUUAAGAAAGAUUUUGGCUUUCUUCCGGCAACACAAUGUCCAUACUCAUGUUUGAUGUCUUCAUACUUGAUUCAUUUAUUAAAUUAAUUUUUGUGGCUCUUGAUCUGCAUUUCUUAGCCUGAUUACUUCUUACCGACUAUAUGCAUAUAUUUGUCUUGCCUGAUAAAUAUAAUAUAAGCUUGCAUUGCUUACUUUGGAGUUGGAAUCCUACAGGCAGAAGAGUAGUAGAAAUGGACAAGUGUGUUUUUCUAUUGCUUGGAUGUUUUUCUCAAAGUAUUGCUUGGUUUAAUUUGUAUCUGCAAUUGACCUGUGCCAUUCAGGUUAUGACAACAGGGCAGAGGGUGUUUUUUAAUUUUUGUGGAACAAAAUAUCUUAUGUGACUUGGAACUGUACAUGUUUUAGUGUUGAUUGACUUACUGUACUUUGUCAUGAUCUUGUUUAUGCUUUGCUCGUUACUAUCUGAUACUAUGCAUUUUUUUCAGGUAGGGAUAUGAAUUCAAAUGCUAUAGAUCUCAUUAGGAGCGGUCAUGCAACUAAAUCUUUGAUGAUUUUACUAGUAAUCAAGUACAUGACUCUCAAAUAGCAUGGAGAAAGUGAGGCUUAAAUCAUAAACAGAUUAGACCUUUUUAUUUAUAAAUAAUUUUCAUAUUUUGGAUGCAACUGCAUGAAUGAAGAAUUAUAGUGGAGUUGAGAUAAAAUGUGUGAGGACCCGUGCAGGCGUGUGUUUAGUCCCACAUCGGUUAUUCGCUAUGUAGAUCUUGGGUACUUAUACAGGAUCAAGGAAUCCAAAUAGUACCUUUCAGCUAGCCAUUUUUAGGUAAGGUUUUGGGUUAUUACAAAUAGUAUCAGAGCGAACCCAGCCCAUAACUUAUGUGGACUAGGGAACACUGCAACACAAAUCUAUUGAGACUGACCACGAGCCAAUCGUGGUAUUUGUGAUUAGAUUUGAAUGAAUUUGAACCCUUAGCCUGACGAGGACGUCAAGGCUUGAACGGGGGGAGGAGGGUAUGUGAGGACCCGUGCGUGCGUGUGGUUAAUCCCACGUCGGUUAUUUGCUGGGUAGAUCUUGGGUACUUAUAUAGGAUCAAGGAACCCAAAUAGUACAUUUCGGCUAGCCAUUUUUGGGUGAGGUCCUAGGUUGCUACAGAAUGUGUUGUCAAAAAUGCAGUUUCAUUUGCCUUGAACUGACAAAUAAGCAAGGAUGAUCUUGCUAAACCUUUAGAUGAGGAGAGCACGAAGACUUACUGUGGAUGACAUUUUGCAUGCCCUCAAAGAAAUUGUCGCUGCUUUUGGUACAUCCAUGGAUGAUCCUGAACAAUGCAGGUAAACCCAAGUUGCUAAUCUCAUCUUUUAUUAUGAAAAAUACACCGGAUAAAUUCUUGCUGGUUUGACAACUCCUUUUCUUAAAUAGUUUUUUAGCUCAGCAGUUGCUUCUCAUAGUUUUCUUUACAUCAUAUUCUAUUUAUCCUAGGAAGGCAUUCUCUCUACAAAUAUGUAGUUUGAGCAGUCGGUACAGAAAACCUUGUGUGUACAUUUUCUGUGACAUGUUUUGGGGUCCGAAUAUAACACUAAUCCCAUGAAAUUCUGAUUUCUUUGGUUUUUGAGUUAGAGAUUUGUGAGACUUGGACUAAGGCCUAAGGUUUGAAUGCUAGGCCUUCAAGUGUAAACCUGGAACAAGGGUUUGAUCUUUGAGCAAUUACAUUCUUCCAUUUAAAAUUCUUUUCCUAGGAAUAGGAGGGAACUAACUAUCUCAUUAUCAGCUUGACUUGUCCCUUGAGGAACUACAAUUACAGAAAAGGAGACCAAAGGUGUGUAUAGAAAAGAGGUCUGCUUAUCAUUGUUCACUUUUCUUAUUCUCAUCCACUUCUUAAAACAAAAAUAAAUAAAAAUGAAGACUUUCCCCAACUAUUUCUUCCAACCGCACCUCGCCUAGCUGCCCCCUUCUCAUCCCCACUAGCAUUCUUGCCUUGCUUUUGACUGCACGGCCUUCUUCCGGGUCGCUGAUUAUGACCACUUGAUCAUCUUUGCAGCUUAAUUUUGCUUGAUGUGAAUUGAGAAACUAAUAGAAUAGCCAUAAAAUUAAUUAUCUCAUUUACUUCUUGAAAUUUAGUCCAUAUUAUAUAUGUAUGCUUUGUAAGCACCAAUUUAGCAGUACAUAUUUAGCACUGGCACUGCAUUACUGUAGGGAGUUAUACAUAUUUAGCAGUACAUUCCUAGUUCGUGCAUUGAAUAGGAAUCAAUUUUAAAUGAUGACAGUAAUGCUACCUGUCAUCCAGAUCUUUCGAGUUGCACCAUAAUUAUGUCAGAUGUUAGGUUAUAUUGAUGUUUCGUGGGAACUCUUAAAACAUAAACCUUACUUUUAGGCUCUUGGGCACUUGCAGCUCGUCCUAUACAGCAAUUUGGCAUGAUUCCAUUAUUGGACAGGUGUGUGAAUUUUUAGGUUUCAGUUCUAAUAGAGGAAUUAAUCUACAUCUAUGAAAGCAUGAAAGUUUGCUCGCUGACUAUGGUUUUACAGUAUAUAUUUAAAUCUUGUAUGAUUACCCAUACUGGCCCUUAUCGUACAAUGGCUCUGAACACACGUAAUGCACAUGAGAGAAGCAGGAGGAUCUGCUGUAGUCUCAAUCUGAUUCAAGAUUAUUUUUUAAUCUAUAUGUAGAUUAAUGUAUGCACUCCCACUUUGUAUUACUGCAUGUAGUAAUGAUGAUGUAUUAUUUACUGGAGUGACCUACCAGAAGUUGGAAUAACGGUCAGUUGUCCAACUCCCCUAAAGCAUUGACAUUAUCAUAUUAGUAAAGAAGAUGCAUAUAAUUGGUACGUGUGGUACAUGUUCCUAGAUUAAGAAAAAUGAAUUGAUGAUAGAUGGAUGUGAUCCCAUCGAUCAGUGAAACCUUUAAAUUUUUAAUCCAUGUGCAUUAGUAUAUGCACCCCCAAUUUUUGUUGUCACAUUUUUUUUUCUUUUUUAAGAAUUGGCCAUACUUGUGAGGAGUUCAACUAGUGAAAUGCGGGUUGAUUUGUAAUCCUUCGAAUGUAAUGGUGUGGGUGAUGGUCCAAUGCCCAGGUAGUCACCUUAAAAUGUGCAUCAUAACUUAGGUGAGGUAAGAUGUUCUCUGAGUAGUUGGUUGCAUCAGCAAUUUGUUUGUUGAUAUCAAGAAUAUUCUUGUUGGUCUAAUACAUUGUGUGAUGUUUCAGAUUCCAAUCAAAAAGCUGUAUAUGCUUGUCAAAAUGGCUCUAAGGAGAUAAAGGAGGUAAUGACAUGUGAUUAUAGGGAUUACGGGAUGGAGUGAUCAUGAUGUAUUUAGCUAGUAAAUAUUGACUUUUCUUUUGACAUAUGUAUAUGUGGACAUUUGAUAUGAAAAUUGAAAUUUAUUUUUAUUUAGUUAUUGAUGGUUGAUCUGAUUUAUCUGCCUUGUGUGCCUGCGGGGUUCGCCCUACAGGUGCGCGGCAUCUGCUCGCGUCCUGGGCCCUGGGUUCGGAGCGUGACAGAGACCUUAGGAUAUGUGGUGGAGGGCUCUACCCCCUUCUGUAGCCUACUGCAUAAUGCAUACAGUUCUCUUCUAUCAAAAGUUUUUUCUUAUUUUCAUAAACAAAAAAAUGGCACCACAGGUUUUUUUUUAUUUGUUAUCAUAUUUGAUUCCCAGCAUUAUAACCAGCAUUUUGGAUUUCACCAUCAAAAUAUGCUGUCGUAUCAGUAGAACAAUUACUCUCUGACAUUUACCAGUAAAUCCUUUUCUUAAAUUUAAUACUUCCACCAGUAAAUCAUCCGGUUUCUAAGUACAACUUUCUGCAGGUGCAUGGAAAUUGUCUGAGCCAUCAGUUUUGCUUCGACAUAAAGGUAACCUGAGCUUGAGAGGAGGCGGCACUUCUAUUUUCUGUUACAUAGAAGGUUUAUCACUGCAUCGGGCAUGCCUCCCUGAGAAAUUUGGCUUGCAUUUCUAUGUUAGAUACCAGCUCUUAUGUUGAUUUGAGUGGUGUUACAUUACAAUGCUGCAGAGUGCUUGUUGUAAGCUUAGAUCCCAUGGCCUGUAGUCUGCUCUGACUCACAAAUGUAAGUCAAGGGACCAAAAUUUAAACCAAUGAGCCGAGGCAUCAACUUCAACAGUAUCAAUGAUGGGAAAUACACUGCUCACAGAUUCUGAUUGAGAUUGAAAGAGAAUAUAUCUUGUUGUCAA